GCUCCCGUAGUGUAAUCGGCUAACACACUAGAUUUCCAAUCUAGUAAUGCCAGUUCGAGUCUGGUUGGGAGCU
RNAcentral lists this transfer RNA (73 nucleotides) under Lactobacillus phage Bacchae. It matches the Rfam family "tRNA". Rfam says of the family: Transfer RNA (tRNA) molecules are approximately 80 nucleotides in length. Their secondary structure includes four short double-helical elements and three loops (D, anti-codon, and T loops). The record is from Rfam by way of RNAcentral. Lineage: Duplodnaviria; Heunggongvirae; Uroviricota; Caudoviricetes; Herelleviridae.